GUUGUGCAGGACUCGCGUUGGUCAAUUUUAAUUCUAUAGACUGGACAGGGCCGACUUUGAAAGUGAGAUUGUGCGUUUUAAUGGAGGAAAUAUGAGAGGGACUUGUUUUAUAUAGUCUAUACAAGGUACUGCGUAUUGUCAGAUAUCUUUUAUCUUUUAUUUUUCCAUGAAUGAUUCAUGCUUCGGUUGCUUUGUGCUGUCCCGCCAUUCAGAAGCAAAGCCAUUAGGGGGCUAUACAUUUCCCCAUUAGCCCUGGUGAUUGGUUUAUAGCAGCACCUUAUUAGGCCCGUUGUUUUGAGUUACCAGUGAAAGUUUUUUGAACUGUCAGGAAUUAUGAAUUCAAAUAUUCCGUCGCAUUUCAUCUGUUUGUCAGGUGUGAGAGCACCCCGUUGAAUGUUGAUGUGUCUUGUUGACGGGGCUGUUAGAUGUGUAUGUCUGUAAUUAUUAGAGUAGGCCUAGGGUAUCUAACAGGGAAGUUGAGUUGCUUUUUCUUUGACAACGUGUUUGUAUAGCCUACACGUUACUUCUAUCUUCUGUAGGCUAACGUAUAAUAAUAUGAUAACAGCUAUUAUUUUACCAGCUUACAGCUGCAUUUACUGUAUAAAAACAAGUCAAUUAUAUUUCUUCUUUAAGGAAUGUCAUCCAGCCCUGGCAGACCUCCUGAAUUCUGUGAAGAAACAAUAGUUUAUGUAAACCAAAACACAUUAACUAACACGGCCUAGUGUAUUUAUUCAGCUUUAGCAUGAAUUUAUACUGUCAAAUGUAUCACGAACAUCAAGGGUUUCAUUAUCACUUUUUAUCCAUCAUUACCAACGGCACCAUGCACCUCAAAGAGAAAAACACAGUCACUACAAAAGGCAUGCGAGAAGAGGGACGUUUCACAUUACACUGCCUAUAUUCAAGUAAAUAAUAAUAUUUUUUUCUUUUACAGAACAAGAUCAAAAGCAUCAGUAGGCUACUACAUAUUCACCAAAAUUAAUAUUAUUAUUCUUUGGUGUCUCUGUAAAUCCAGUACAACAUUUAUACCAGCAAAUAAAUUACAAUAUACAAAACAAUAUUAUUCGUAAUUAAGACUAAGAACAACAUUCACAAGAAUCAACC
This is a long non-coding RNA of Esox lucius (northern pike), 1101 nucleotides long. The record is from Ensembl. Lineage: Eukaryota; Metazoa; Chordata; Actinopteri; Esociformes; Esocidae.